CCAGGACGCUAACUUGAUCCAGCAGUGUGUGGGCAGCAGGCUCUUGCAGAAGAUACGGCAAUUCCUGAAAGUAAACAAAAACUUAUUCAGGGGUGGCAAAAUUAAUCAGUGAAGUAGGUAGUAUGAAUGGGCUCUCCGUUUCAGAAAGUGGAACUUGACCGACAUCUUCAGUUGAAGAUACAGGCAGGUAUUCUGCCUUUAUUUAACACUGAAAGGCACUUUUCUUCAGUUACUCUGAAGAUACAGCAUUGCUGAAAAGAACCAAGUUGUCUGUCUAGUUCAUUCUUACUUUUUUCAGCACCCUCCAUGGAAUUGUGGCCAGUUCACAUCAGGCAAGAUUUCAUUACCGGUAUACUGUAUAGUGCUUAGGAUCUCAAUAAAUCAGAAUUUCCUCAAUCCUAGUAGUGAACUCUAAUUGUAUAUUGCAUACAGUGUGUAGUGUAUGCACCUCUACCUGUGUACUUCUUUCAAAUGACAAUGAUUGUUUGUCUGAAGUGAACAAUUUCCUUCUUGGGACAAGGACAAACACACAUUUCGAAAACUUUUUUUUUGGUCUGUAGACAAAAACGGUGAAGAAUUGUGGCCUAGUAUGUUUCCUUUCCCCACUUUGAGCUCUGUAGGUUGUUAUGCUGGUAUGCUAGUACAUGCUAAACAGGAAAUUUAUGUAGAAUGAUUCAUCAUUAAUUGGAUGCAUCUGCCUAAGUCGUGAGGAGGGAUGAGAAUACCCAUAGUUAAAAAUGCUAGUGCUGUGUUCCUAAUAAAAUCUUAGAAUUCAAUUUUCUCUGCAGUUAUAUCAGUGACACGGGAGGGAAGUAUAUUAUUAAAAUCCUUUGCAGAACGUUAUGAAAAUAUAGAUUCAGAGUUAGUGACUUCAACAGAAUUUUACUAAGAGGUUAGUUGAAUAAAAUCUAUCCUUUUUCAAAAUGUUUCAUUGUGUUGAAUAUUUAAAUUAGGAUUUAAGACGUUGAUAAUGGGCAAAAUAGUUCUUUAGACUGAAUGUGUGAAUAUCCCAUCUGAAUGCAUGAAAGUAAACCAAUCCAGAUUAUGAAAAAUACCUUGUGUUUUCCAGCUCCUUCAAGAAAAUACACUGAACUUGGAAGCAGGUUACCACAGAUUUUCCUAACAGAUACUGAAAGGGUGACUUUCUCUUUUCUCACUCAAAAAACUGUCUUCAAGUUUGUGGAAGUCUACAAUACAUAAGUAUUUUCACAAAUAUAGGUUUACAAGAACUGCUAUGUAGAGUUUCACAAAACGGAGUGAAGUAAGUGCUGCUGAUGUGCAGGAGGUGAGCCGUUUGUGAGCUGCUUUUUAGAAAGGGGAUGAAACCUAUUUUCAUUCAAAUAUUAAACACUUCAGGUACAUUGAAUUGUAGCUGUAAUGGGUGUAAUCAAAUAUAAACCAUUUUUGUGUUUGUUGUAUCCUUAUUCAACGUUGAAUAAUCGGACGUCAGUUGCUCUUGGGAUAAUCUGCUCAGUUAAACUUUGUAACUAUAUAUGUAUAAUAUAAGCGAUUUAAGACAUUACAGUAUUUUAAAGCUAAGUUAACACAAGACCUGAACAGAUAAAAUUCUUUGCUGGUUUAGGUUUCUAAUGCAGUGAGCGGCAGAACUCCCAUUACCUUCACAGGGAGAAGAAUUUGGCUUAUGGUUUCUUCUGAGAGGAUAUUAUAUGAAAUAUUUAAUUAGUAAGCAUAAAUUUCACAUUUCAUUUAAUCUCAUAGUCAGACAUAUUCAUGUUUCUACUUAGAUGUUUGUAAUGAUCCUUUAUUCUGUAGUUGAGAAGAAUUUUUGAAUGUAUGUAAUGUUAAAUGGAUUCCUUGACUACCUACAUUGCAGUUCUUGAGGCUGCAGAUGGAUGUAGCCUAGCAUAACCCAAACUUUUUGCCUGUUCUUCAUUUCAGAACUUCCUUUUCAGUUCCAGCUUUUUUUAUUUGCUACUCAAAAUCUGGUUUAGAGUAGAAGACACAGAGCGACAGCUGGCAAGCUUGGAACUGAAUGUUAUGUUUAGCUGAGCUUGCAAAGCUUUUGUUGCUUUGGGUGUCCUGACCUUGGAUAUAGUGAUUUGUGAAUGCCCUAUCCAGUCACCUCUAUAAGCUGAAGAUGUUGGAGGUGGCACUGAAUUUACCACCCCAAGUAGACGGAACUAUGGCAGAAAGCUAGAGGGAAUACAGGGAUAAAACAGUGAACUUCUGUCUGGAGAGACAGAAGUCACAGAGUUGCUAAAAAGAGAAGAAAGAAGUUUACCUGUGUGUGGAAGAGGAGGAAGGGACGGAAACAUGCAGGCAGCAAAGCGUCCAAAUGUAUAGAAUGGGUUUAUAUAUCUAAUGCGUGGUUUUGGAUUGGUGAUUUAUGGAGGUAUUGAGCGAUCAUAACUUAAUCUGUUAAUGAAAUUCUUGUAUGAAAUAAAAGCCUACAAGUGCACAAAGAAA
Oxyura jamaicensis (ruddy duck) is the source of this 2427-nucleotide long non-coding RNA. RefSeq lists it as uncharacterized. The transcript is spliced from 2 exons. NCBI's taxonomy places the organism in Eukaryota, Metazoa, Chordata, Aves, Anseriformes, Anatidae. The record is from RefSeq and is a predicted model, not a curated record.